This 84-nucleotide transfer RNA is filed under the name Myxococcota bacterium. RNAcentral describes it as "tRNA-Leu". It matches the Rfam family "tRNA". Rfam says of the family: Transfer RNA (tRNA) molecules are approximately 80 nucleotides in length. Their secondary structure includes four short double-helical elements and three loops (D, anti-codon, and T loops). RNAcentral also lists the same sequence under 1 other name. The record is from RNAcentral. Lineage: Bacteria; Pseudomonadati; Myxococcota.
GCGGAAGUGGCGGAAUUGGCAGACGCACUGGAUUCAGGUUCCAGCGAUCGAAAGGUCGUGGAGGUUCAAGUCCUCUCUUCCGCA